ACCUCCGCAACUUGUAAAAGCCCUAAAUUGAAAUGACACUGGAUAUUAAGAGUGUUUUUACUGUUCUGGUGACAUAUUAACAAGAUUCACACUCAAAAGGCUCUACUUGAAGUGAUAUGUGAUUAUAAGAGUGUUUUUGCGAUUCUAGUGAGAUUAAAAACAUUGGAAGAGGCGGUAUGUGAUUGGCGGCGGCGGGAAACCAGCCCAGCGUCGUAGAGCCUCUGUUUAAAGUGACUCGGGAUAUGAAGAGUGAUUCAGGAUAUGAAGAGUGUUUUUACGGUUCUAGUGACGAAUUAACAAGAAGUGAAGUGAAAAGGAUAUACAGCCUUGAAAAGCCGGCUAAUCGUGUAUGCUGCUGUCUUGGAAAACAAUCGCAGUGAGAGCUGCUGCAUCGUCUCGCUCUUCGCCCUCUCGACGACUCCUGCCAUCUCCUCGCCACAUCGCCGCCAACGCUAUGAACAAGUAAGACUGGGCCUCGUGGAGUAGUCUCGACGCUGGCCCCGAAGAAACACUAAUGUUCCAUCACUACAACCCCAGAGAGACAGAUCAUGCACGGACAAGGCGCCUCGUGGAGGAGUGGCUUCAGGUACCUAGGAGAGGAAGGUCACUUCAGGGACUCCACCCACCAGUAUCCAUUCGAGGAGGGACCGCAGUCAUUAAAAUGUACAAGCAGCGCUUCGUGGCAACCUUAGAGUUCUUCCACAGGCUGAGCGUCUA
Long non-coding RNA from Portunus trituberculatus (swimming crab), 717 nucleotides. RefSeq lists it as uncharacterized. The record is from RefSeq and is a predicted model, not a curated record. The transcript is spliced from 3 exons. Lineage: Eukaryota; Metazoa; Arthropoda; Malacostraca; Decapoda; Portunidae.